GAUGAACGCUAGCGGCAGGCCUAAUACAUGCAAGUUGAACGGGCUUUGGUCUUCGGGCCAGAGUUAGUGGCGCACGGGUGCGUAACGCGUACACAACAUACCCUUGACUGGGGGAUAGCGGUGGGAAACUGCCAGUAAUACCCCAUGCCCUUGCGGAGUGGCAUUAUUUUGCAAGGAAAGUUACGGCGGUUGAGGAUUGGUGUGCGUCCGAUUAGCUAGUUGGCGGGGUAACGGCCCACCAAGGCGACGAUCGGUAGGGGGUGUGAGAGCAUGGCCCCCCACACGGGUACUGAGACACGGACCCGACUCCUACGGGAGGCAGCAGUAAGGAAUAUUGGACAAUGGGCGGAAGCCUGAUCCAGCCAUGCCGCGUGAAGGAAGAAGGCGCUCAGCGUUGUAAACUUCUUUUGAAUGGGAACAAUAACCUCCACGAGUUGGGGGCUUGAGGGUACCAUUAGAAUAAGCACCGGCUAACUCCGUGCCAGCAGCCGCG
Molecule: ribosomal RNA, 493 nt
Filed under: uncultured bacterium
Lineage: Bacteria
Description: bacterial SSU rRNA
Rfam family: Bacterial small subunit ribosomal RNA
Source: RNAcentral